UGGGGAAUAUUGCACAAUGGGCGCAAGCCUGAUGCAGCCAUGCCGCGUGUGUGAAGAAGGCCUUCGGGUUGUAAAGCACUUUCAGCGGGGAGGAAGGUGUCAAGGUUAAUAACCUUGGCAAUUGACGUUACCGACAGAAGAAGCACCGGCUAACUCCGUGCCAGCAGCCGCGGUAAUACGGAGGGUGCAAGCGUUAAUCGGAAUUACUGGGCGUAAAGCGCACGCAGGCGGUUGAUUGAGUCAGAUGUGAAAUCCCCGGGCUUAACCCGGGAAUUGCAUCUGAUACUGGUCAGCUAGAGUCUUGUAGAGGGGGGUAGAAUUCCAUGUGUAGCGGUGAAAUGCGUAGAGAUGUGGAGGAAUACCGGUGGCGAAGGCGGCCCCCUGGACAAAGACUGACGCUCAGGUGCGAAAGGGUGGGGAGCAAACAGG
This 429-nucleotide ribosomal RNA is filed under the name Chloroflexota bacterium. Its description in RNAcentral is "Chloroflexi bacterium partial 16S ribosomal RNA". It matches the Rfam family "Bacterial small subunit ribosomal RNA", at positions 355 to 776 of the family's 1533-position model. The record is from RNAcentral. Lineage: Bacteria; Bacillati; Chloroflexota.